This 495-nucleotide ribosomal RNA is filed under the name uncultured bacterium. RNAcentral describes it as "partial 16S ribosomal RNA". It matches the Rfam family "Bacterial small subunit ribosomal RNA", at positions 28 to 507 of the family's 1533-position model. The record is from RNAcentral.
GACGAACGCUGGCGGCGUGCCUAAUACAUGCAAGUAGAACGCUGAAGGAGGAGCUUGCUUCUCUGGAUGAGUUGCGUACGGGUGAGUAACGCGUAGGUAACCUGCCUGGUAGCGGGGGAUAACUAUUGGAAACGAUAGCUAAUACCGCAUAAUAGCAGUUGUUGCAUGACAACUGUUUGAAAGGUGCAAUUGCACCACUACCAGAUGGACCUGCGUUGUAUUAGCUAGUUGGUGGGGUAACGGCUCACCAAGGCGACGAUACAUAGCCGACCUGAGAGGGUGAUCGGCCACACUGGGACUGAGACACGGCCCAGACUCCUACGGGAGGCAGCAGUAGGGAAUCUUCGGCAAUGGGCGGAAGUCUGACCGAGCAACGCCGCGUGAGUGAAGAAGGUUUUCGGAUCGUAAAGCUCUGUUGUAAGAGAAGAACGAGUGUGAGAGUGGAAAGUUCACACUGUGACGGUAUCUUACCAGAAAGGGACGGCUAACUACGUG